GCUGUUUUACAUACACAGUGAAGACCAACCAAUAAGUAUCUAUUUGUUAGAUUCAUUUUGUAUUAAAAUAAACAUCCAACAUUUUGCAGGGGGAUUCUUUGGUAUUAGUGGAUCCAAUGCCAGGACCAAAGGGGCUUCCGGGGAGGAAAGGCGAGCUGGUAAUUAUUUAAUAAUUUGGAUUGAUAGUUUGUUUUCCAAAGCAUUUUCCAUGAGUGUCAAAAGCUGUUUGGAUGAAUUACCCUUCUCUUUAUUUAAGGGACUUCAAGGUUUUGCAGGGGAUCCUGGACCUCCAGGGGAUCCUGGACCUAGAGGAUCAUUUGGGUUGAUCGGCCGUGCAGGUGCACAAGGAUCUAAGGGUCAAGAAGGCAUAGGUGGAAUGCCGGGACCUCGUGGACCAAAGGGGAACCAAGGACCACGAGGCCCACCGGGCCCUCCAGGUCGUGUUAAAGAGUUUUUAAGUGGGUCUCAAGUGUUAAAGGGCACAAAAGGAGACAAAGGAAAUGCGGGAGAAAAAGGGUGCAAGGGUGAACCAGGAGACACGUUUGAUGGUUAUUACUUCAAAGGAGAAAAAGGAGACCAAGGAUCUGUGGGCCAAGAGGUACUGUAUAAGUCUUUGACUUAUGUUCCAGAGAGACUCUGAGGCUGAUCAGCAGAGGGCAGUGAUGUAACAUUACAUACCUAGGACUGUGUAGUCUGUCUGGCAUUGUGAUAUGCAUGUCUAACAUAACCAUUGUGAUUCUUUUGUUCAUGUUAACGUGUAGAAGAUCCUACUAAAACGUCAGAGAAGGAUCGUUUAACCCAAGUCUCAGAGACAGGGACAGUCAUCAGUGGUUUAUCUUUGAUGUAUGUUAAGUCAAAUACUUUAGAUAACAUGACAAGGCAAAAAAUACAUUAGUUUACUAAACAUCAUGCAGGCAAAAGACAACUGGACAGCGUAGGCAAAAGACUGUGAUGUUGGUGUGUACAGAAUGAGGGAAUUUACUAGUAGUCGACCAAAACUGGCUGCAUGACUGGGCAGCACAGAGCUGUGACUAGUUAUGAAACAAGGACUAGUUAGAAUGUAACUGAAUGAAACACAAAAAUGCCUUUAUUGUCUAAUAUUCUUGUCUUUACAGGGAAAGCCAGGAAAGGAUGGUGAUCUUGGAGAACCUGGACACAGGGUACUGCUAUUGAGUGCUAUAAGUGUAUACAUAAGUAGUGUGCAAAAUCAUGAUGAUGUGUGUUUAUAAUGCACUAAGUGAACACAUCGAAUACUUACAGUAUUAAUGCAGUACAGUUUUCUUUAGGGAAGGCCUGGCCCUACAGGUGCAACAGGGUAUCAGGGCACACCUGGAGACAAGGUUGGCAAUCGCUUACUGCCAAAUGCAAUAUGUAAUUGUCUUGGUGCCGUGAUAUACAAAUAAAAUACUUUGUUUGCUUACUUUGAUUUUAAGG
This 1434-nucleotide long non-coding RNA is filed under the name Betta splendens (Siamese fighting fish). RNAcentral's name for it is "lncRNA (ENSBSLG00000006609.1)". Lineage: Eukaryota; Metazoa; Chordata; Actinopteri; Anabantiformes; Osphronemidae. The record is from RNAcentral.